CCACGUACUAUAGAGAUUAUUUAAUUAAUUUUUGAUAUUUAUAUUACGCACUCGAUUUUACACGUUUGAUUUAAAAUGCAAUUUAGUUAAUGAAUGAAAAUGUUCUGAAACGAUUUAAUUAAUACACUUCUUCAUUGUGAAAACAGUAGAAAACUAUAUGUGUAUAUAGUAAAGGAACAGGAUAUUACGUGUUUAUUAUCUGCACAAGCAGUUCUUAUCGUUAGUAUUUCUCUUGCCUCUGGUUAGUAGAUACUCGUGUUUCUGCUUCUACGAAUGGAAGUAAGAUUUCAUUCUAAAUAGAAAGCGUAUAAUGAAAGAAAAUACGAAUGAACAGAAUAUUCGUAUAGAUCAAGUGGUGCUAUACGUCGUUGAUCGAUACGAAUGAACGAAACGUUCGUCGAUUCACCUUCAACGUUACGUCAAACGUAUUUGUAUCAGGGACAAACGAUCGUAGGAUUUCACGAACGCAUGAAAGCACAUCGAGGAGUACACUCCGGCGGGACAUCGCCGCAAUGCAGCUUUAUCUAUACCGGGCUGUUCCGCACCAUACGGGCCAUUGCUCGAUUUACGAUUCCAGAAAACAUACGUUCACAAAGCUCGAUCUACUCGUCGUGUACCAUAAUGCAGCUCUUUAACUACCACGAUGUCAUUUAAACAGCCAAAUAACGAACAUUCGAAGUAUUAUCCAAGCCAUGAACAACGAGGAUGAGAAGAAUGUCUGAUGCGCGAGAUGAAUGAAAAUGAAAAAGGAUAGGAUUUCGAGAGCUUCACAUUGAUUUGAGGAGAGAAACGGUGGAUUGUUCAAACCAGACUAGUCGUUCACCCACAUCAAGAAUGUUUUCAUUGCGUUAAUGAAGUGUCCGACGAAUAUUUCAACGAUUUAAUAAAUAAAGAAUAUACCGUGCGGUAAAA
Molecule: long non-coding RNA, 912 nt
Organism: Bombus pyrosoma
Lineage: Eukaryota; Metazoa; Arthropoda; Insecta; Hymenoptera; Apidae
Exons: 3
Source: RefSeq, a predicted model, not a curated record